This is an RNA transcript of Juglans regia (Persian walnut), 1687 nucleotides long. It is a transcript of the gene named carboxy-terminal domain RNA polymerase II polypeptide A small phosphatase 1-like, with no coding region annotated. Lineage: Eukaryota; Viridiplantae; Streptophyta; Magnoliopsida; Fagales; Juglandaceae. The transcript is spliced from 7 exons. The record is from RefSeq and is a predicted model, not a curated record.
CCUCGACAGUACGUCCUACUAUCCUGAAGAACGCGUGACUACCAUCUCUCUUUCUCGACGAAGACCACGACCACAUCUCCGAGAAAAUUAAAGAAAGAGAAAACUACAGAAGCAAUUUACGUACAUAUCUGGGCGAGCAGAUCAUUCGUUGAUAUCCGAAGCACCCUAAUCACUCUCGCCCUCUCUUCUCUGAGAAAAAGAGACGCACUCUUGGCUAUGCCUAUGGCCGAGUUGACUAAGACAGAGGUGUACUCGCCGAGGUCUCUGCAAGUAUGGCGGACGCUCCUGAACUGGUUGGCCUUGUUCUUUCAGAUCUUCCUUCAGAUCCUCAGAGCUCUCGGCCACCACGCUCUGCUCUCUUCCUCCUCCUCUUCUUCUCCUUCUUUCAAGCCCUUGCCGGUCGUCGAGCUCCCGGAACACGACUCUCCAGCAGCCUCCACCGUUGAAAUCGCCACCGCAUCCGGGGAUUUCGAGUCCGGCGAGCAGUUCGAGAAGCUCACGUUUGCAUUUAGUUUGCUUCCCAUCCAUACCAUGGUACUGGUAUCUAUUUCAUAGAGACGUUUGGAAGGUGUAGGUGUACAAUGUUUUUGACCGUCACAAACUUCGGAUGUGCAAGUUUGUUAAGAAAGUUUAAGAACAUGAGUGCAAAAUAUGCCAACCCCAAUUAGUUCAGAUAUCGCAAAUGAAAAAUUCACUUGCAGGUGGUUCUUGACUUGGAUGAAACUCUAGUAUGUGCCUAUGAGACAUCUAGUUUGCCAGCUGUUGUUCGUAAUCAAGCCACAGAAGCUGGGUUGAAGUGGUUUGAACUGGAAUGCAUCUCUUCAGACAAGGAAAGUGAAGGAAAACCUAAGGUCAACUACGUUACAGUUUUUGAGCGUCCUGGGUUGCAAGAAUUCUUAAAAGACCUUGGUGAAUUUGCGGAUCUUGUGCUGUUUACUGCUGGUCUUGAAGGUUAUGCUAGACCACUUGUUGACAAAAUAGAUAAGGAAAAUCGAUUUGGUAGUCGACUCUAUCGACCUUCAACAAUUAGCACGGAGUACCGGGAGCAUGUGAAGGAUCUCUCCUGCCUGUCAAAGAAUCCAUCCCGAAUUGUUAUUGUUGACAACAAUCCAUUCAGUUUCUUAUUGCAACCAUGGAAUGGAAUUCCAUGCAUUCCAUUUACUGCUGGGCAACCGCAUGACACACAGCUUCUGGAUGUCCUCCUUCCACUCCUCAAGCACCUUUCUCAGCAGAAAGAUGUGAGACCAGUGCUCUAUGAAAGGUUCCAUAUGCCUGAAUGGUUUCAAAAGCAAGGAAUUCCUACUUCUGCUUGGAUGUUGUAGAAUAAAGACUAUGCAAUAAGAGCCGCCAUUCUUCUUUGUACAAUCACCUGCAAUUCCUCUUUUUCAAAGGCAGCACACCUCAUCAAUGGACUCAAAAUUUUUGUAUAGCAUCGAUUUGUACACGGGAGAUGAUGAAACCUCGUUUGAAGCUCUAUCCGAAGAUUUCAACUGCUGCACACCUUGGUCCCAUAGCUACACCAUUUAUGCAUGUAGAUUUGUCAAAGUUCUGAUUGCUAUGAAACUUGAUUUUCAGGCUUGUGAUCAUCUUGAUUGUUUCUGUAACUUGUUAGAAAUUUGUUAAGACAGUAAUCAAUAAUUAUUAGCUGUUUAAAUGUUCACAGCAGCAUUGCUCAACAAUUAUUUGA